AUAUAUACACCCAGAGUCCAAUAUGAAGGAACAACUCCCAAAGUAGAUCUUAUUAAUAAAAAAAUCUAUGUUCUAGUCUUUUUUUCUAUUGCAAAUAAAUAAUACAAAUAACACACAAAAAAAACCUUUAGUGUCUUCAUAGAAAAUAAUAAUAACUUUAAGCAAUAUGACAAAUCUGAUCUGGAUUAGAUUCCUACUACAAAUUGGACAUUAUGCAUAUAUAAAACAAAACCACAGAUAUAUGAGAUUCAAUCUUAGAUGGUAUACGCGUGCGCCCGUAAGGGAAAGAACAUACGCAAUGCGCCUAAUUACAAAAACAUAUUUUAACAAUUCUGACAACAUAUUAAAAACAACCCACGUCAUUUGGUCGGGUUAUUUGUUGCCCACCAUAAAGAAAAGAAACUGACAAGGACAAACAAUCAUAGUGCUUUCUCUGCUACUCCUACUGAAAAUUCAAUAAAAGUAUCUCGUUCGGACAUUUGCCGGCUCCACCAUACUUAUUAUACCUCUAUGGAGUCAAUAGAUCAUAGGUCUUAACACGAUAAAUUACGGUGCCACUGGUUCCAGUACCACUUCCCGUAAUGAACAUGUCCCAUCCCUAAGCAUACACAUGACAGCGCGUAUUAAACCGGUUGUCAAUUUUAGUACUGGAUACAAUAAUUUUAAGAAAAAAAAACCGACUUCAAUGAGGGAGACCGGUGAAAGAACGAUUACUGUUAAUUUUAGAUUUCAUAAAAUGAAAUUAAAAAGACAGCGUCCUACGCCUAAUUAUGUAGAAAAGGAGGUAACAUGUUUUUUUUUUGCCACUGCACCCACCUUGACACAUUUCAGAUUUGCCCUAUGAUUGACUAUGGUAUUCGACUGUAUUUAAGAUAAAUUACUUUACACCAUGCAUGAAAUAAAGCACCAGAUAAUUAUUAAAAAAACUAAAUAGGAUAUAAAUAUAAAAAUUUGCCUUGAAAACCUAACUGCUUGGCAAAGAGAACAAGUUGCCAAACGUGAACUAUGCAUCAUUGAAGAGUUCCGUUCUGUUCAUCAUCAGCAGUACUUUCUACUUCAUCAAAUGUCACUUCUACAAAUGUAAAUACUUGAUUUGUUAAUGAAAAUACUAAGAUCACUAUAUAUAUAUGCCUUUAACAUUUGUGGAGUUCCCUCGAGUCCUCAUGGACCCGAUCGUCAGAAUUCGAACUUGACAAAAAAUUGUCUUGAAAAUCUUAUUUGCUUAACAAACACAGCGAAGAGGACAAAUCGCCAAACGUGUACUAUACGUCGUUGAAGAGUACCAUUCUGAUCAUCAUCAGCAGUUCCAUUUCAUUAAAUGUCACUUUUUUCAAAUGUAAAUGCUUGAUUUUUUAAAGAAAAUACAAAAAUCACUAUAUGUAUGCCUUUCAUAUUUGAAGAGUUCCCUCGAUUCCUCAUGGACCCCAUCGUCAGAACUCGAAUUUGACAAAAAAUUGUUUUGAAAAUUUCAUUUACUUAACAAACACAACGAAGAGGAGAAAUCGCCAAACGUGUACUAUGCGUCGUUGAAGAGUUCCAUUCUGAUCAUCAUCAGCAGUUCUUCUUCAUCAAAUGUCACUUUUUUAAAUGUAAAUGCUUGAUUUGUUACGGAAAAUACAAAAAUCACUAUA
This is a long non-coding RNA of Cydia pomonella (codling moth), 1631 nucleotides long. RefSeq lists it as uncharacterized. The record is from RefSeq and is a predicted model, not a curated record. The transcript is spliced from 2 exons. NCBI's taxonomy places the organism in Eukaryota, Metazoa, Arthropoda, Insecta, Lepidoptera, Tortricidae.